RNAcentral lists this ribosomal RNA (497 nucleotides) under uncultured bacterium. Its description in RNAcentral is "partial 16S ribosomal RNA". It matches the Rfam family "Bacterial small subunit ribosomal RNA", at positions 28 to 507 of the family's 1533-position model. The record is from RNAcentral.
GAUGAACGCUGGCGGCGUGCCUAAUACAUGCAAGUCGAGCGAACAGACGAGGAGCUUGCUCCUCUGACGUUAGCGGCGGACGGGUGAGUAACACGUGGAUAACCUACCUAUAAGACUGGGAUAACUUCGGGAAACCGGAGCUAAUACCGGAUAAUAUAUUGAACCGCAUGGUUCAAUAGUGAAAUACGGUUUUGCUGUCACUUAUAGAUGGAUCCUCGCCGCAUUAGCUAUUUGGAAAGGUAACGGGUUACCAAGGCAACGAUUGGUAGCCGACCUCAGAGUGUAGGCGCCCACCAUGCAGCUGAGACAGGGUCCACACACAUACGGCAGGCAGCGGUAGGGAAUGUUCCACAGUGGGCGAAAGACUAACGGAACAACGCCGCGUGUGAGAUGAAGGCCUUCGUUUCGUAAAACUCUGUUAUUAGGGAAGAACAAUUGUGUACGUAACUAUGCACGUCUGGACGGUACCUAAUCAGGAAGCCACGGCUAACUACGAG